UUGGAGGGCAAGUCUGGUGCCAGCAGCCGCGGUAAUUCCAGCUCCAAUAGCGUAUAUUAAAGUUGUUGCAGUUAAAAAGCUCGUAGUUGAAUUUCGGGAUCAAUUUAUCGGUCGUGCCUACGGUAUGAACUGGUACAAUUGGUUUCUCCCUUCUGACGAAGCAUGAUGCCAUUAAUUUGGUGUCGUGGGGAAUCAGGACUGUUACUUUGAAAAAAUUAGAGUGUUUAAAGCAAGCAUUAGCUUGAAUACAUUAGCAUGGAAUAAUGAAAUAGGACGUUUGAUCCUAUUUCGUUGGUUUCUAGGAUCGACGUAAUGAUUAAUAGGGAUAGUUGGGGGCAUUAGUAUUCAAUUGUCAGAGGUGAAAUUCUUGGAUUUAUUGAAGACUAACUACUGCGAAAGCAUUUGCCAAGGAUGUUUUCAUUAAUCAAGAACGAAAGUUAGGGGAUCGAAGACGAUCAGAUACCGUCGUAGUCUUAACCAUAAACUAUGCCGACCAGGGAUCGGAUGAUGUUAAUUUUUUAAUGACUCAUUCGGCGCCUUACGGGAAAC
This 549-nucleotide ribosomal RNA is filed under the name uncultured Glomeromycotina. Its description in RNAcentral is "SSU rRNA". It matches the Rfam family "Eukaryotic small subunit ribosomal RNA", at positions 548 to 1098 of the family's 1831-position model. Lineage: Eukaryota; Fungi; Glomeromycota. The record is from RNAcentral.